AUGCCGCGUGAAUGAUGAAGGCCUUCGGGUUGUAAAGUUCUUUUAUUGAUGAAGAUAAUGACGGUAAUCAAUGAAUAAGCACCGGCUAACUUCGUGCCAGCAGCCGCGGUAAUACGAAGGGUGCUAGCGUUGUUCGGAAUGACUGGGCGUAAAGGGCGCGUAGGCGGUAGGAUACGUCUGAUGUGAAAUCCCCGGGCUUAACCUGCGAACUGCAUUGGAUACGGUUUUACUAGAGUCCGCGAGAGGAAGAUGGAAUUGUGCGUGUAGAGGUGAAAUUCGUAGAGAUGCACAAGAACACCGGUGGCGAAGGCGAUCUUCUGGAGCGGUACUGACGCUAAGGCGCGAAAGCGUGGGGAGCAAACAGGAUUAGAUACCCUGGCUAGUCCACGCUGUAAACGAUGAAUGUUAGAUGUCGGGGAGCAAUUUUCGGUGUCGCAGCUAACGCAAUAAACAUUCCGCCUGGGGAGUACGGUCGCAAGAUUAAAACUCAAAGGAAUUGACGGGGACCCGCACAAGCGGUGGAGUAUGUGGUUUAAUUCGAAGCAACGCGCAGAANCUCACCAACCUUUGACAUGUGACGUAUGGGGAUCAGAGAUGA
Molecule: ribosomal RNA, 598 nt
Filed under: uncultured bacterium
Lineage: Bacteria
Description: bacterial SSU rRNA
Rfam family: Bacterial small subunit ribosomal RNA
Source: RNAcentral